GUCUACGACCAUACUACGUUGAAAAUACCGGUUCUCGUCCGAUCACCGAAGUUAAGCAACGUCGGGCCCGGAUAGUACUUGGAUGGGUGACCGCCUGGGAAAACCUUGUGCUGUAGACU
This 119-nucleotide ribosomal RNA is filed under the name Anneissia japonica. Lineage: Eukaryota; Metazoa; Echinodermata; Crinoidea; Comatulida; Comatulidae. The record is from RNAcentral.